RNAcentral lists this ribosomal RNA (417 nucleotides) under uncultured bacterium. RNAcentral's name for it is "bacterial SSU rRNA". It matches the Rfam family "Bacterial small subunit ribosomal RNA", at positions 355 to 787 of the family's 1533-position model. The record is from RNAcentral.
UGGGGAAUCUUGGACAAUGGGGGCAACCCUGAUCCAGCCAUGCCGCGUGAGUGAUGAAGGCCUUAGGGUCGUAAAGCUCUUUCGCCUGUGAAGAUAAUGACGGUAGCAGGUAAAGAAACCCCGGCUAACUCCGUGCCAGCAGCCGCGGUAAUACGGAGGGGGUUAGCGUUGUUCGGAAUUACUGGGCGUAAAGCGCACGUAGGCGGACCAGAAAGUUGGGGGUGAAAUCCCGGGGGCUCAACCCCGGAACUGCCUCCAAAACUAUUGGUCUAGAGUUCGAGAGAGGUGAGUGGGAAUUCCAAGUGUAGAGGUGAAAUUCGUAGAUAUUUGGAGGAACACCAGUGGCGAAGGCGGCUCACUGGCUCGAUACUGACGCUGAGGUGCGAAAGUGUGGGGAGCAAACAGGAUUAGAUACCC